This 458-nucleotide ribosomal RNA is filed under the name uncultured bacterium. Its description in RNAcentral is "bacterial SSU rRNA". It matches the Rfam family "Bacterial small subunit ribosomal RNA", at positions 78 to 518 of the family's 1533-position model. The record is from RNAcentral.
GAGAGCUGAGUGACAGUUAGUGGCGGACGGGUGAGUACGCGUGGGCAACCGUACCCAUAAGAGGGGGAGUAACAGCUGGAAACGGCUGCUAAUACCGCAUAAGCUUUUUAGGACGUAUGUUUUAGAAAGUAAAGGAGGCGCAAGCUUCCGCUUAUGGAUGGGCCCGCGUCUGAUUAGCUAGUUGGUAGGGUAGAGGCCUACCAAGGCAACGAUCAGUAGCCGGCCUGAGAGGGUGGACGGCCACACUGGGACUGAGAACGGCCCAGACUCCUACGGGAGGCAGCAGUGGGGAAUAUUGCGCAAUGGGGGAAACCCUGACGCAGCGACGCCGCGUGAGCCGAAGAAGGCCUUCGGGUUGUAAAGCUCUGUUGUAAGGGACGAAUGUCUAGGGUAGUAACUGACCUUAGAAUGACGGUACCUUACCAGCAAGCCCCGGCUAACUACGUGCCAGCAGCAGC